UAAAGGAGGGGCUCCUGCUGAUCAUACUACAAAAACAAAAGACCAAUUGGACCUUAGACUGUAUUUUCUAAAAGAAACAUAAAUCCUCUAAUGAAAAUGCUAAAAAUAUUUUUUGAAGUAAUUCAGGCAAAAAGAACAAAAGGACAGUGAUACCAGGAGGAAAGAUGCAAAGAGGAAUUGUGAGCAAAAUGAUUAAAUCUGAGUGUAAAUCUAAUAAAACACUGAGUAAAGUAAUACCAACAGAGAACAUCUUACGAAUUAAAAAAACUAGAGAAGCAGCCAAAGGGUCAGAAGAAUAAGUACGGCACAGAACGCUCAUGAAAUUUGGAUACAGUUUUCAACCAUAAGAGCAUGAGAGCCCUUCAGGUGGACAGAGGGCAACACACUCCAGGCUGAUGGAAGACAGAAGAUGAAGAUGUGAUUAAAACCCUAACCAAACUAUUUCUGCAUGAGCAAGCGGGGCACUGUCGAUACUCUCAGAAUCACAGCAGCCGCUCCUUAUAAACCGCUCUGAACUUGCUGAUAUGCUCUGUACUGUAUACACAGCUUAUAUGACACAAAACACAAACCAACUGCUGAGAGAGGUAAUUCAGUGAAUAAACGGCAAAAGUUGGCUUUGAAUUGGUGCAGACAUUGCUGUCUCUAUUCUUAACUACUUUGAUAUAAAACAAGGAUAAGUGAAGGGAAAUGAAGAAACUUUGAGGGUUUAU
Molecule: long non-coding RNA, 710 nt
Filed under: Pan troglodytes (chimpanzee)
Lineage: Eukaryota; Metazoa; Chordata; Mammalia; Primates; Hominidae
Description: long non-coding RNA NONPTRT014996
Source: RNAcentral